AGAGUUUGAUCCUGGCUCAGGAUGAACGCUGGCGGCGUGCCUAAUACAUGCAAGUCGAGCGAACGGACGAGAAGCUUGCUUCUCUGAUGUUAGCGGCGGACGGGUGAGUAACACGUGGAUAACCUACCUAUAAGACUGGGAUAACUUCGGGAAACCGGAGCUAAUACCGGAUAAUAUUUUGAACCGCAUGGUUCAAAAGUGAAAGACGGUCUUGCUGUCACUUAUAGAUGGAUCCGCGCUGCAUUAGCUAGUUGGUAAGGUAACGGCUUACCAAGGCAACGAUGCAUAGCCGACCUGAGAGGGUGAUCGGCCACACUGGAACUGAGACACGGUCCAGACUCCUACGGGAGGCAGCAGUAGGGAAUCUUCCGCAAUGGGCGAAAGCCUGACGGAGCAACGCCGCGUGAGUGAUGAAGGUCUUCGGAUCGUAAAACUCUGUUAUUAGGGAAGAACAUAUGUGUAAGUAACUGUGCACAUCUUGACGGUACCUAAUCAGAAAGCCACGGCUAACUACGUGCCAGCAGCCGCGGUAAUACGUAGGUGGCAAGCGUUAUCCGGAAUUAUUGGGCGUAAAGCGCGCGUAGGCGGUUUUUUAAGUCUGAUGUGAAAGCCCACGGCUCAACCGUGGAGGGUCAUUGGAAACUGGAAAACUUGAGUGCAGAAGAGGAAAGUGGAAUUCCAUGUGUAGCGGUGAAAUGCGCAGAGAUAUGGAGGAACACCAGUGGCGAAGGCGACUUUCUGGUCUGUAACUGACGCUGAUGUGCGAAAGCGUGGGGAUCAAACAGGAUUAGAUACCCUGGUAGUCCACGCCGUAAACGAUGAGUGCUAAGUGUUAGGGGGUUUCCGCCCCUUAGUGCUGCAGCUAACGCAUUAAGCACUCCGCCUGGGGAGUACGACCGCAAGGUUGAAACUCAAAGGAAUUGACGGGGACCCGCACAAGCGGUGGAGCAUGUGGUUUAAUUCGAAGCAACGCGAAGAACCUUACCAAAUCUUGACAUCCUUUGACAACUCUAGAGAUAGAGCUUUCCCCUUCGGGGGACAAAGUGACAGGUGGUGCAUGGUUGUCGUCAGCUCGUGUCGUGAGAUGUUGGGUUAAGUCCCGCAACGAGCGCAACCCUUAAGCUUAGUUGCCAUCAUUAAGUUGGGCACUCUAAGUUGACUGCCGGUGACAAACCGGAGGAAGGUGGGGAUGACGUCAAAUCAUCAUGCCCCUUAUGAUUUGGGCUACACACGUGCUACAAUGGACAAUACAAAGGGCAGCGAAACCGCGAGGUCAAGCAAAUCCCAUAAAGUUGUUCUCAGUUCGGAUUGUAGUCUGCAACUCGACUACAUGAAGCUGGAAUCGCUAGUAAUCGUAGAUCAGCAUGCUACGGUGAAUACGUUCCCGGGUCUUGUACACACCGC
Molecule: ribosomal RNA, 1404 nt
Filed under: uncultured microorganism
Description: 16S ribosomal RNA
Rfam family: Bacterial small subunit ribosomal RNA
Source: RNAcentral